RNAcentral lists this long non-coding RNA (518 nucleotides) under Anas platyrhynchos platyrhynchos (common mallard). RNAcentral's name for it is "lncRNA (ENSAPLG00000029512.1)". Lineage: Eukaryota; Metazoa; Chordata; Aves; Anseriformes; Anatidae. The record is from RNAcentral.
AUGAAGAAACAGCUUUGCUGGUGCCAGAGAAAUGCUGAUAGCCUGGAAGAGGACGUAUGCAUACUUCUCCCUUCACUACUCUUUCCCCAAGGGAGUCUGCAGGGUGAAAUGUGCACUUGGCACACAAGGACGAGAUGCAGGCAGGCAGUGCGCAGGGGAUGCACCACUAUGUGCAGGACUUGCAGGAUGUGCCAGUGCAAGACUUUUUCCUUUCUUAACCUCAGAACAGAGACUGUACAAUUGAAAAUAAUAUUCAAUUCAUUGGAUAGAAAGGAAGAAAAGACCAGACUUUGUUUGUACAGCUUGCUGGAUGUAGUUAUCAAGUGGAUUCCAGCUUUUAUACCACAGUUUGAGCAGGUAAGACGUGUGAGCUCAGUGGUUGACCUGUUGGCUUUUUAUAUGAUCUUGGCCAAGUCACAUAAUUCUGUGGUUCAGCUUCCAUAAGCUCUAGUGGUGAUAACCAAGGCCAAUUGUUUUUUGGAACUAUGCUUAUUCAUAGCAUAAUAUGAAGAUUGCUC